CACGUCUACCUUUUCCACUUUAAAGUGGGGGGGCUCUGGCUCGCUAUGCCCCACAUUGGAGCUCCCCUCCUGCUGCUCAGACUGAACCUCUUGGUGCUUUACUGACACCUGCUGGAGACCUUCAGAACAACAUAAAACGCAAUCAGGAUCUGCGUCCAGGACCGGCCCAAGGUCCAAACAUCGGUCCAAUCCCAAGCUCUUGGAACUUGCGACGACAGUGUAGAUGAGAGCCCCAGUGAUGGCCAUGCUGCUCAAAGAGAAGGGAAGAGCUAUGGAAAAAAACAAGGGAC
Nerophis lumbriciformis (worm pipefish) is the source of this 290-nucleotide non-coding RNA. The record is from RefSeq and is a predicted model, not a curated record. Lineage: Eukaryota; Metazoa; Chordata; Actinopteri; Syngnathiformes; Syngnathidae.